AUUCGUGAGGCAGAGGAAUAAAAACAGUAAAAAAAAAGGUAACAGUAAAUGUAAUUUCCCUCCCUCUAAUUGGCCAGUCGACACACUGAGUCAAAGACCGAGUCACCUCAUCAUAGUUUUCUUCAUCCUUUCUCAAUACGCCGAAAGAAAGACGCAAUCGUUUUUAACUCAAAAGAGAUGAACGCCGCCGUUAGAGCUGCGAUCCUCAGAACAGAGAGCGUAUCUUCUCACCUGAAAGCUGCCUUCUUUCAUUCCACCCCCGUCUUGGAGCGCAAACGUCGCACUUCCUGGGAUUCGAAAUCAAAUGUUCACAGGAAGAGGUUCAGGAGGAUGAGAGAGAGCAAGAGUUGUUGCGUAAUGUGAAUGCUUUCGCGGCAAACAUGUUUACGAGCUGGCAUGAUGAGUUUGAUUAUAGUGAGCCUUCCUCAAAGAAGCGAACCUCUUGGUUUAAAAAACAGUACGCCAAGGAACCUAAAGGAAAAUCGAAUGGCAAACACAACUCCCAGAGUUGGGGUCCAAGGAACUUUGAUUUUUGCGAAGUAGAUGAGGACUUUGACAUUGAUUAUAUAUUCCCUGGUGGACCCGAGGUUUCUCUUUUUCAUUCACCUUUGAAGAUGAUGAACCUCCUCGAUGGCAUCAUUCAUCUAGGUUUUCCAACAACUCUAAUAAGAGGUCUUCGAGAUCGAAACAUCAUCGAAUAUAUGAAGAUGAAGAAAAUGAUGACUAUACUUCAGCAGAAUCAAGUGACUCUGAGUCUGACUCUGAGCCAAACCAAGCUUCUCAUAGACAAGCACUUGGCCUGAGUCCUUCUGGUCCUUUAAACCUCAAAGACGUCAAACACGCGUACCGAGUUUGUGCAUUAAAAUGGCAUCCGGAUCGUCAUCAAGGCUGCUCCACCAAGGAGGCGGCUGAAGCAAAGUUCAAGCUAUGCAGUGUGGCUUAUCAGUCUUUAUGCGAGAAGCUAUCACUGAACUAAUGUUUUCAAGUUACUACAGUACUACAGAAUCCAAGCGAAACCUUUGUUUCUGUCACUUUUAUUAUUUAAAGGUUACAGCUACACCGGCCCAUUAGCCCAAUUACACCGGCCCGUUAGGCCCAUUACAGCGGCCCAAUUGUUGAUUAUCAUUUAUGGAAAGUUCUUGGUGAUCAAGCAAAAAACUUUUUGAGUAAACAUUCCAUUCUCUGUUUUUAAUUUUACCUAAAAGAAAAAUGGAAAAUAUACUAUUCGUUUUUUUCUUC
Molecule: RNA transcript, 1239 nt
Organism: Raphanus sativus (radish)
Lineage: Eukaryota; Viridiplantae; Streptophyta; Magnoliopsida; Brassicales; Brassicaceae
Exons: 6
Source: RefSeq, a predicted model, not a curated record